Molecule: ribosomal RNA, 317 nt
Filed under: Neorhizobium turbinariae
Lineage: Bacteria; Pseudomonadati; Pseudomonadota; Alphaproteobacteria; Hyphomicrobiales; Rhizobiaceae
Description: partial 23S ribosomal RNA
Rfam family: Bacterial large subunit ribosomal RNA
Source: RNAcentral
GGGGAGCAUACUCACAGCGUCGAAUGGUGUACGUAAGUUAUCCUGGAGCGGUGAGUAAAGCAAAUGUAGGAAUAAGUAACGAUAAGGAGGGUUAGAUUCCCUCCCGCUGUAAGACCAAGGUUUCCCGGGCAAUGCCAAUCAGCCCGGGGUCAGUCGGGUCCUAAGUCUAAGCCGAACGGCGAUGGCGAUGGCAGAGACGGUUAAUAUUCCGUCACUGCCGCAUGGGGCGACGUGGAGACGGAGCAGUGAAACCACCGCGGGGCGACGGAAGUCCCCGUUGAAGAGUGUAGGUGUUGAGGAUGGCAGGCAAAUCCACC